GACGAACGCUGGCGGCGUGCUUAACACAUGCAAGUCGAACGGAAAGGCCCUGCUUUUGUGGGGUGCUCGAGUGGCGAACGGGUGAGUAACACGUGAGUAACCUGCCCUUGACUUUGGGAUAACUUCAGGAAACUGGGGCUAAUAUCGGAUAGGAGCUCCUGCUGCAUGGUGGGGGUUGGAAAGUUUCGGCGGUUGGGGAUGGACUCGCGGCUUAUCAGCUUGUUGGUGGGGUAGUGGCUUACCAAGGCUUUGACGGGUAGCCGGCCUGAGAGGGUGACCGGCCACAUUGGGCCUGCGAUACGGCCCAGACUCCUACGGGAGGCAGCAGUGGGGAAUAUUGCACAAUGGGCGGAAGCCUGAUGCGGCAACGCCGCGUGCGGGAUGACGGCCUUCGGGUUGUAAACCACUGUCGCCUGUGCCGAAGCGUGAGUGACGGUAAUGGGUAAAGAAGCACCGGCUAACUACGUG
RNAcentral lists this ribosomal RNA (468 nucleotides) under uncultured bacterium. RNAcentral describes it as "partial 16S ribosomal RNA". It matches the Rfam family "Bacterial small subunit ribosomal RNA", at positions 28 to 507 of the family's 1533-position model. The record is from RNAcentral.